UUUCCAACAUGGUUGACAACAAUGUACCUUGCGUUCUUUCACACGAGAGAACAAUUCGCGAUGUUUUUCUUGAUCAAUUCCAAACACCUAAAAUUUUCAAUUCAACAUGUUGACAUUGAACAGUGGUUGCAGUGAAGAGAGUAAUAACUAUGUUUGGCUCUUCAAAACUAACGUUGGAAGUGCGAACAAACAGAUUUUCAAGACUGGGUGUGACUCGAAUAACGCGAUGACCUACAACAGGUUAAAUAUACCUUUGACUGCCAGUGUAUUCUACCGUAUACCAAGUUGUACUUUCCUCCUCGCUAUCACUUUCAUUGGACUCGUUUGGUUUUGAAAGGCGAAGCCUCUCUAGUUUUGACUGCAAAAUUGGUUGAAAUUCUCGUUUUUCUGUUGGGCCAAGAGCCUCGUAAUAUUCCUUAUAUAUUUUUCUCACUGACUCAUUAAAAGACAUGUUGUACGAAUUUCGUUUUAACUGAUUUUGAAAACGAGAGCACGGUCAUGAGACACCUGUCACUUCUUCUGGCACAAGUGUGAAUAAAUUUUCAUUAUUUGCUGCGGAGAUCGACCACGAGCAACUAUUAGUUUCCUUUCAUGUGCAAACUUGUCAUAAACAAUAGCGACUAAUAUCUCGUAUUCUCUGAUGAUUACAACCAAAGGAAUUUGUUCGUUAUUGUUUUUUUAUGUCUAUUGACGUGACCUUUGUAUGUCACAUUUUCACACCAAGACAAAGGCGAAUAACAUAACCUUCCAAUGAA
This is a long non-coding RNA of Xenia sp. Carnegie-2017, 755 nucleotides long. RefSeq lists it as uncharacterized. The record is from RefSeq and is a predicted model, not a curated record. The transcript is spliced from 2 exons. NCBI's taxonomy places the organism in Eukaryota, Metazoa, Cnidaria, Anthozoa, Malacalcyonacea, Xeniidae.